GAUUAAAGGUGUGCGCCACCGCCGCCUGGCUCACGUACUCUUUGAAUUUUGCUUUAGCCAUAAAGCCCAAUUCCCUCUCCUGAGUACCCUUCCUUCCCCUACGGACCACAAGAUGUUUCCUGGAGAGGGGCUUAGUUUACACCCAGGUACAAAAGAAAGUCUGUAGAGGUCAUGGUUGAGGAAUUGAGAUGUGACAACGAUCAGGCUGCCACGUGCCAUGUCACCUCUCUCGGCAUCUAGAACCUCACUCAGAUCCGCACGUGCAGCCUUGUUUCCUGUAGUACUGCACACCGGCCAAGCGGGACCUUGUACAACAUGGUUCCUGAUCUUGGUGGCAGAGGACUGACUGGUAAAGCCGUGGGAAAGAACAUGGUAGGACUCCCUGGGGUCCUACCUCUGACUGCAACUGGGAUGCUGUGGUCCAGCUCUGUUCAUGAUGGUUUUUUUUUUUUUUUUUGUCCAGAAUGUCUUGCAUACGGGGUUGUGCCAUAAACUUAACUCUGCCUCCCUCCUCCUCCUUCUUAAAUUUCCUCGUACAGUUUUCUAAAGCAAUGAUCUCAUUUCAUCAUUAAGCUAGACAGCCAAAGGACAUCCAAAUAUUCCCUACUCUUAUCUCCUGGAGGACAAAACCGACCCCGGCUGGGAGCCACUGGGCUGGAUGAGCAACUUCAGUCCGAGGGUACAGAAGGGAACUCCACUUUGCUCACACCAAGUAAUCCAGUAUGAUUCCCCAAAGUAUUGGCUUUGCUUGAUGAACAGAACUGGGAUACCAGUUCUCAGGGCCAUGCCGCCAGAUGAACGUGUUGUAUGUGAAGAACAGAAUUACAAAUGGAAGGCAUCAUUCUUUUAUUGCCUCUGGUACCAAUUCCUGGGAGUUUCACAGCCACAGUGCAGGCGUCAAGGAGGAAUUACAAAGUGUUCCGAGGAAAGACAUCACUAGGCCACGUCGCAGAUGGUUUUACUCAUGGAGACCUGCUGAACAUCUGAACAGCAGUCCUCACAUAGCAACUCUCAAGAUACCCACGAUGGGCCUGAAGUUCCUCUUCUGGGCCACCAGGAAUUCUUUCAGAUGACCCACUACCACAAGAGCAGACCUUGCCCAGACCUCCCGGUGGGCUGCCACCGGAUCAGAGUGAUGGAUCAAAGCUGUUCUCCUAGCAACCGGAGCGCCACACAGCCGCUGUCGAGGCUUUCCGCCGGGCUGCUUCUUGAAUAAACACAACAGAGGCCGAGUGAGAAGUAGCUACAGUUUAAUACAAACCUGCACCAGAA
Long non-coding RNA from Peromyscus leucopus (white-footed mouse), 1272 nucleotides. RefSeq lists it as uncharacterized. The record is from RefSeq and is a predicted model, not a curated record. Lineage: Eukaryota; Metazoa; Chordata; Mammalia; Rodentia; Cricetidae. The transcript has 2 exons.